UCGACAUUUCGAAUAACCUUGGACUUGAUCUAUUUUUGUUUUUGACAGCUUAAUAAUAGUAUUCCGAAAACUGUUCGAAUAUUCGAACCGGAACACUUGAACAAUCGAAAGAAGUCUUGGAGUGCGCUGAAAAGGUCAAAUUAAUAUUUUAAAGAGGAAAAACUGUUGCAUUUUACUUUUUAAAAAACAAAUUGCUUAAUUAUGAUGUAUAACCUGAGACAACAAAAGAGAAUUUGUUACCGGCUAACAAGACGAUAUAAUGUACGAACCAAUCGCAUCUCACUCAACGAUGAUUGUUGGUUGGCAAUAUUCGAGAGAUUACAAUCAGACGACUUAGCAAACAUCCACUACACUUGCAGCAGAUUUAAGGCCUUAUCCGAAACAUCAUUUCGUUUGCGGUACAAAGAAACUUGUUUUUAUUUAAGCCACAGCCUACCCACAACUAACAGCCGAAUUGAGCGUUAUGGAAGAAUUACCGAUACAAUUAACUUGAAAACGCUUGGCGCAUUCCGAAACGAGAUUAAGCGAGUGGUUGUAGAGUAUACGAUGCGCCCUCACGUUAUCAGCCAGUUUAGCAGAAUGUGUCAUCAAACAGUGGAAGAGUUAAUAAUUUGUAAUUUUGAUUUUUUCGAAGCUGCAGUUCGCGAACCGUUCGAGAAGCUAAAAAAAUUGACAAUUUUUGGAUUUAAUAUCGAUAUGGCUAAACUCAAGUCAUUUUUCGUAAAUGUGGAACAUUUAGUGCUCGUGAAAGCAUUUAUUUUUCAGAUGG
Bradysia coprophila is the source of this 769-nucleotide long non-coding RNA. Lineage: Eukaryota; Metazoa; Arthropoda; Insecta; Diptera; Sciaridae. The record is from RefSeq and is a predicted model, not a curated record.